This 22-nucleotide unclassified non-coding RNA is filed under the name Mus musculus (house mouse). RNAcentral describes it as "oocyte_clustered_small_RNA8484". Lineage: Eukaryota; Metazoa; Chordata; Mammalia; Rodentia; Muridae. The record is from RNAcentral.
UGAGACGCGAAGGCGACGGCGG